AUGGACCGAAAGAGGUUGUGCUUGAUCUCAUGGAGAGGGCGAAGUGAUGAAAUCGGAGAGAAUGGGGCGGUUGACAACGAGAUUGGCGGAGGUGCGUGCGAGGCGAGAAGAGAAGUGAACCUGGGUGGUGAUGCUCGACGACGGAGUGAGAAAGGGAGGCAGGAGGUCGGCGACAAUGUCGGAGAGCAUGGAGCAGUGCAGUUGGCGCACGGGGUCGAGCUGAGCCGGUAUCCUGUUCGAGUUGGCUCCACCUGCUCCAGGAGCGAAGUUGUGGAGCGGAGUCCCUCCGAGCAGGCAGAGAUAGCCAUGGAGAUCGUUCCUGGAAGGGGCAGUUUCCUUGUAAAUAUGGGCUGGGCUUUCCAGGCUUCGCAUUUACACGGUCGAGUGCCCAGGCGACCAAGGAGCAACAGAAUGCUAACCACACUUUUUGACUUUCAAAGAAUAUGCAAGAUUUCGAAUUUUUAA
Molecule: ribosomal RNA, 465 nt
Filed under: Triticum aestivum (bread wheat)
Lineage: Eukaryota; Viridiplantae; Streptophyta; Magnoliopsida; Poales; Poaceae
Description: partial small subunit ribosomal RNA
Source: RNAcentral